CACUCCAAUUCGAUAUAGUAUCUCUCCUUCCAACUCCUUGAGAUACCUAUGACUUGAUUUCUUCAUAACUUGGGUAGAUAGGAUGUCCUAAAUCAAGACCUAAUUGCUCUUCUUCCUUAUGUUUCUUUCAUUGAAUAAUGGUUGGGAUAAAAUUAUGUCUCAUUAUCUACUUCUUUGUCUGAAAACACUUCGUGUUUACAUUCAAAGGGGCAUGUUGUAGACACUUAAUUUUAUCCCUUCCAAAGUCCAAUUUUAUCCAUUUUUUAGCUCACCUUACUAUACAUCGUUAUCCAUGUGAUUUAACCCACAAAACUACGAAAAAUAACAAUUCUUAACAAAAUUCCUAAUAAAUUUUAUCUUAUUUUAAUCAUCCUCACUACAGUGCCACACGUCACUCCACCCCAUUCCCCUUCACGUUUUCUCCUCUUUAACAAAUUGACAAUAGGGGCCCACAGGGAAUAAUUCCCACAACACAUACACAACUACAAAAAAGGAAGGGGCCCACUUGGAAUAUUCUGGGUUUUCCAAUUCAAUAACAGAAUGGAUACACAGUAACAAAAAGGGAGUCUUCCCAAUUAACACACCCAGAAGUCUCACACGACACACACUGCCAUACACAUACUCUCACCGACAGGAACACACACUCUCACCGGCCGAAAAAUACACGCGCACAGUAAACGAAGAGCAACACAGUGAGAACGAAAGAGAGAGAAAUAACCAGAGAAAGAAUCGGAGAGAAAGAACAAUUGAGGAGAGGGGGUGUUUUCUCCGAUGAGUUUAGCCUGAGAAUCGCUGCCAAAAACCCUAAAAAAAACACGGUUGAGCCACUGUUCCGUCAAGACUCACCGGAAAACGAACACAUCAACCGUAUUUCGGCCAAACCCACAUCGAACAGCUUUCAUCUCUUAUUUUUUUAGUUUAAAUCUCGCCGGAAAACAUUUAUUCCGGCCACCAGAUCGUAUGAAUCGGUUGUUUUAGGUUGACUUCGGUUGAGUCUCGUCGAAAACUGUCACACAGGGGGUCUGUUUUUCCCUUUCAAGCUUCAAUUUUAACUUCGGGUUUCAUUUGUUAUUCGUGAAGUCUUGUUCGGAUUGGAUUUCGAGAUUUUUCCGUUGGAAUUGGUUUGUUGUGAGGUCGGAUUUGAGGUUUUUCGAGUGCGGUGUUAUCUCCAAUAUAUUGAAAUCGAUAUUUGAGAUCCAAUUCUAACUCUCUCUUUUCGUUUUGUUUGAUUUGGUGCAUUGAUGUAUGAUUGUGAGUUGUUGGGUUGUGAUUGGAUGAUCUGUUUGAGGUUCGAUAUUGUUUAUCUGUGAAUAAUUAAUCACGGUAUGAACCACUUUAUGUGAAAGUGAGUAUAAAAGGGAAUUUGAGGUGGAAUUGAGAAGUUGAUAAAAGAGUAAAUUUAGAUUAACUUUGGUUUAUUAUUAUUUUUCUUUAAUUCGGAAUGAGCAUGAAUAUUGUUGGAACAUGAUAGUAUCAUAAGAGGAUGAAAUUGGCAGGCAAAUGAUAGGCUGGGUAGGCAAAUUUGAGAAUAAUAAUUUGUUGAGUGUUUGAAGAUGUGUGUGAAUGAUUCAUUAUAUUUUAUCACAUAAAAAUUGAAAUUAUACUCGUUUGGCCAGGAAAUGCCCCGAGGGGUUUGUAUUGAUUUAUUCGAAGAAUGCUCCAAAGUAUCAUGUAUGCAGAGGAGGCUCGUGAUCAAGGUCCGAGGUAUCGGGUAAGGCAUUGGAGUGUAGUUUUAGGAUUUGCUUAGAAUAAGAUUUAUGUUUUUGCAUUUUUUUCUAUUUUUGGAUUGUAUAAUUGGACUGGACACUAUAUUUUGGAUUGGUUUUGUUUUGUGUGUUUGAUUGUUUUAUGUGUUGUGUAGUUUAUAC
RNAcentral lists this long non-coding RNA (1868 nucleotides) under Capsicum annuum. Its description in RNAcentral is "long non-coding RNA (CANN_LNC015361)". The record is from RNAcentral. Lineage: Eukaryota; Viridiplantae; Streptophyta; Magnoliopsida; Solanales; Solanaceae.